AGUAGCAAAUGGAUGAUGAUUCAAUUAGAUGUGUGAAUGGAGAAAUCCUCCCUCAUGAACUUAAACUUUUUGAGGCAUUUUCAUAGAGACUGACUUUGCUACU
This 103-nucleotide small nucleolar RNA is filed under the name Macleaya cordata. RNAcentral's name for it is "Small nucleolar RNA Z266". It matches the Rfam family "Small nucleolar RNA Z266". Rfam says of the family: Z266 is a member of the C/D class of snoRNA which contain the C (UGAUGA) and D (CUGA) box motifs. Most of the members of the box C/D family function in directing site-specific 2'-O-methylation of substrate RNAs. Lineage: Eukaryota; Viridiplantae; Streptophyta; Magnoliopsida; Ranunculales; Papaveraceae. The record is from Rfam by way of RNAcentral.